GAUGAACGCUGGCGGCGUGCCUAAUACAUGCAAGUCGAGCGAACAGACGAGGAGCUUGCUCCUCUGACGUUAGCGGCGGACGGGUGAGUAACACGUGGAUAACCUACCUAUAAGACUGGGAUAACUUCGGGAAACCGGAGCUAAUACCGGAUAAUAUAUUGAACCGCAUGGUUCAAUAGUUCAAGACGGUUUUGCUGUCACUUAUAGAUGGAUCCGCGCCGCAUUAGCUAGUUGGUAAGGUAACGGCUUACCAAGGCAACGAUGCGUAGCCGACCGGAGAGGGUGAUAGGCCACACUGGAACUGAGACACGGUCCAGACCCCUACGGGAGGCAGCAGUAGGGAAUCUUCCGAAAUGGGCGAAAGCCUGACGGAGCAACGCCGCGUGAGUGAUGAAGGUCUUCGGAUCGUAAAACUCUGUUAUUAGGGAAGAACAAAUGUGUAAGUAACUAUGCACGUCUUGACGGUACCUAAUCAGAAAGCCACGGCUAACUACGU
This 496-nucleotide ribosomal RNA is filed under the name uncultured bacterium. Its description in RNAcentral is "partial 16S ribosomal RNA". It matches the Rfam family "Bacterial small subunit ribosomal RNA", at positions 28 to 506 of the family's 1533-position model. The record is from RNAcentral.